GCGGCUCGGGAAUCCACCCGAAGAGUGGCUAUAAACGUCCGCGCCUCCAUUGCGCUCUCCUCUUCACUUAGGUAGGUCCUGCCGCGUUGACCACUGGCGUCUCGCUGGUGGUCUUCGAGACCGGCGUUGGUUGAAAAUCGCCCCCGGCUUUGGCCGUGGCCGCGGGUGAGAUUCGGCGCCCAGAGCCCCCGGGGGCCUCAGCUCACCGCGCGCUGCCCCAUGUGCGGCGGUGAAACCCAGGCCCCGACAGGC
This 252-nucleotide long non-coding RNA is filed under the name Homo sapiens (human). RNAcentral describes it as "non-protein coding SNHG9:9". The stretch from base 126 to 252 matches the Rfam family "Small nucleolar RNA ACA64". The record is from RNAcentral. Lineage: Eukaryota; Metazoa; Chordata; Mammalia; Primates; Hominidae.